GGCGUGCCUAAUACAUGCAAGUAGAACGCUGAAGGAGGAGCUUGCUUCUCUGGAUGAGUUGCGAACGGGUGAGUAACGCGUAGGUAACCUGCCUGGUAGCGGGGGAUAACUAUUGGAAACGAUAGCUAAUACCGCAUAAGAGUAGAUGUUGCAUGACAUUUGCUUAAAAGGUGCAAUUGCAUUACUACCAGAUGGACCUGCGUUGUAUUAGCUAGUUGGUGGGGUAACGGCUCACCAAGGCGACGAUACAUAGCCGACCUGAGAGGGUGAUCGGCCACACUGGGACUGAGACACGGCCCAGACUCCUACGGGAGGCAGCAGUAGGGAAUCUUCGGCAAAGGACGAAAGUCUGACCGAGCAACGCCGCGUGAGUGAAGAAGGUUUUCGGAUCGUAAAGCUCUGUUGUAAGAGAAGAACGAGUGUGAGAGUGGAAAGUUCACACUGUGACGGUAUCUUACCAGAAAGGGACGGCUAACUACGUGCCAGCAGCCGCGGUAAUACGUAGGUCCCGAGCGUUGUCCGGAUUUAUUGGGCGUAAAGCGAGCGCAGGCGGUUAGAUAAGUCUGAAGUUAAAGGCUGUGGCUUAACCAUAGUACGCUUUGGAAACUGUUUAACUUGAGUGCAAGAGGGGAGAGUGGAAUUCCAUGUGUAGCGGUGAAAUGCGUAGAUAUAUGGAGGAGCACCGGUGGCGAAAGCGGCUCUCUGGCUUGUAACUGACGCUGAGGCUCGAAAGCGUGGGGAGCAAACAGGAUUAGAUAGCCUGGUAGUCCACGCCGUAAACGAUGAGUGCUAAGUGUUAGACCC
Molecule: ribosomal RNA, 804 nt
Filed under: uncultured Streptococcus sp.
Lineage: Bacteria; Bacillati; Bacillota; Bacilli; Lactobacillales; Streptococcaceae
Description: bacterial SSU rRNA
Rfam family: Bacterial small subunit ribosomal RNA
Source: RNAcentral